This 433-nucleotide ribosomal RNA is filed under the name uncultured bacterium. RNAcentral describes it as "partial 16S ribosomal RNA". It matches the Rfam family "Bacterial small subunit ribosomal RNA", at positions 29 to 507 of the family's 1533-position model. The record is from RNAcentral.
AACGAACGCUGGCGGCAUGCCUAACACAUGCAAGUCGAACGAGACCUUCGGGUCUAGUGGCGCACGGGGGCGUAACGCGUGGGAAUCUGCCCUUGGGUUCGGAAUAACAGUUGGAAACGACUGCUAAUACCGGAUGAUGACGUAAGUCCAAAGAUUUAUCGCCCAGGGAUGAGCCCGCGUAGGAUUAGCUAGUUGGUGGGGUAAAGGCCUACCAAGGCGACGAUCCUUAGCUGGUCUGAGAGGAUGAUCAGCCACACUGGGACUGAGACACGGCCCAGACUCCUACGGGAGGCAGCAGUGGGGAAUAUUGGACAAUGGGCGAAAGCCUGAUCCAGCAAUGCCGGGUGAGUGAUGAAGGCCUUAGGGUUGUAAAGCUCUUUUACCCGGGAUGAUAAUGACAGUACCGGGAGAAUAAGCCCCGGCUAACUCCGUG